This 967-nucleotide long non-coding RNA is filed under the name Parus major (Great Tit). Its description in RNAcentral is "lncRNA (ENSPMJG00000018003.1)". The record is from RNAcentral. Lineage: Eukaryota; Metazoa; Chordata; Aves; Passeriformes; Paridae.
UUCAUUCCUGCAGCAGCUCAUGCUGAACCCUGGCUGGAUUAGCAGAAGGUGAAAUGUGCCACAGGAGAUUGCUGCUGGGUUCAGGGCAGGAUGGCAGCGGAAGAGAAACGAGGUAGUGGUGUCCCCCAGGAUUUAUUUCCAGCCAAAGAACAGCUAUAAAAAGCAUCCUUGAUCCUGGAAGCAGGGUGCAAAAAGCAAAAUCUGCUGUUUGGGUGAGUGUCAUGGCUAAAUACAGUGAUUAAAACAUAUAGCCUGGCAUUUUUCGGAGACGGUGCAGGCUGGGAAGAGCUGCUGCUGUGGUAAACAGAGACUCAGGAUCAGCUGGAUCCUUUGUCAGUGCUGCAUUCACUGAAAAUUCAAAAUACUGUGGGUUUAGUUUGGAUUUAAAAUCAUCAAAUCCUCCUCAAAUACAGUUGUAGAUAUUUUUGCCUCUGCAGCUGGCUGGCUGUGUUACAUUUUUCCUUUGCAGAGAGGCUGACAACAUUGGUUAAACCAAGAGAAAAUUAACUCUACCCCAGGGGAAACCAGGACACCCCAAAGCGCUUCCAGAGCAGAUGGAGACUGAUCUGUGGCACCACUCCCAGAUCCAAUUCUGCCUCACAGUUCCAGAAUCUGGCCAGCUGCCUGAAAUGGCAGCACUUUCCAGGGCAGGUCCAGGCAGCGCUCGGAAUGCAGGAAUUGCAGCACAGGAGCUCUGGGGAAGCACAGCCCAGGCAGCUGCUGCUCCCUGGGCAGGUUUUGUGCAGAGACUGAGGCUCAUCCAUGGAACAAACACCUCCAACCUCUGCUGACAUCCCUGUGCAGAAUAAUCUGAAUUUUGCCUGCUGGCUCCACAGACUCUCAGUCUGCCAAGCCCACCCUGCUCCUGCUCGGUGUUCCUGUAAAUCCUCAGCAUCCCUGCAGCCGAAUCGCUCAGCCUGGGAUUUCUGCUGGGAACCCAUCGGGCUGCUGGCUCCAGAAAUGUGCU